Molecule: ribosomal RNA, 375 nt
Filed under: uncultured organism
Description: partial 16S ribosomal RNA
Rfam family: Bacterial small subunit ribosomal RNA
Source: RNAcentral
GUAGGUGGCAAGCGUUGUCCGGAAUUAUUGGGGCGUAAAGCGCGCGCAGGCGGUUCUUUAAGUCUGAUGUGAAAGCCCACGGGCUCAACCGUGGAGGGUCAUUGGAAACUGGAGAACUUGAGUACAGAAGAGGAAAGCGGAAUUCCACGUGUAGCGGUGAAAUGCGUAGAGAUGUGGAGGAACACCAGUGGCGAAGGCGGCUUUCCGGUCUGUAACUGACGCUGAGGCGCGAAAGCGUGGGGAGCAAACAGGAUUAGAUACCCUGGUAGUCCACGCCGUAAACGAUGAGUGCUAAGUGUUAGGGGGUUUCCGCCCCUUAGUGCUGCAGCUAACGCAUUAAGCACUCCGCCUGGGGAGUACGGCCGCAAAGGCUGA